RNAcentral lists this ribosomal RNA (208 nucleotides) under uncultured bacterium. RNAcentral describes it as "partial 16S ribosomal RNA". It matches the Rfam family "Bacterial small subunit ribosomal RNA", at positions 568 to 775 of the family's 1533-position model. The record is from RNAcentral.
CGUGUAGGCGGGCGCGUAAGUCCGGUGUAAAAUCCCUCGGCUCAACCGAGGAAGGUCAUUGGAUACUGCGUGUCUGGAGUGCGGGAGAGGAGAGUGGAACUCUUGGUGGAGCGGUGAAAUGCGUAGAUAUCAAGAGGAACGCCGGUGGCGAAAGCGGCUCUCUGGCCCGUUACUGACGCUGAGGCGCGAAAGCUAGGGGAGCAAACGG